AUUGAACGCUGGCGGCAUGCUUUACACAUGCAAGUCGAACGGCAGCGCGGGCUUCGGCCUGGCGGCGAGUGGCGAACGGGUGAGUAAUACAUCGGAACGUGCCCAGUAGUGGGGGAUAGCUCGGCGAAAGCCGGAUUAAUACCGCAUACGACCUGAGGGUGAAAGCGGGGGAUCUUCGGACCUCGCGCUAUUGGAGCGGCCGAUGGCAGAUUAGCUAGUUGGUGGGGUAAAGGCCUACCAAGGCGACGAUCUGUAGCUGGUCUGAGAGGACGACCAGCCACACAGGGACUGAGACACGGCCCAGACUCCUACGGGAGGCAGCAGUGGGGAAUUUUGGACAAAGGGCGAAAGCCUGAUCCAGCAAUGCCGCGUGUGUGAUGAAGGCCUUCGGGUUGUAAAGCACUUUUGGCGGGAACGAAAAGGACUGUGCCAAUACCACGGUUCGAUGACGGUACCCGCAGAAUAAGCACCGGCUAACUACGUG
Molecule: ribosomal RNA, 484 nt
Filed under: uncultured bacterium
Lineage: Bacteria
Description: partial 16S ribosomal RNA
Rfam family: Bacterial small subunit ribosomal RNA
Source: RNAcentral